Molecule: small nuclear RNA, 23 nt
Filed under: Arabidopsis thaliana (thale cress)
Lineage: Eukaryota; Viridiplantae; Streptophyta; Magnoliopsida; Brassicales; Brassicaceae
Description: snRNA_18749
Source: RNAcentral
UAUCUUCUAUCUCCUCUAAAAAA